UUAUAUUAAUCUGUGAACGGCUCAUUAAAACAGUUAUAAUGUACAUUGAUGCUUAAUUUUUAACUGAAUUCACACGGAUAUCCCAAAUAACUUUCGGGAUAAUACGUACUCGACUCGCGUUAAUUCAACGCGUAAGAUUAGUCUAUUUUGAUAAAAGACUACCAAGGCCCUUUCUUAACACAGAGUGUCCUUCACCAUUUUGUUUUGCUUCAUGCAUUUAUAGAGGAAAUUAAGAAGACUUGAUAAUCUUCGAUGAUGACUUCUUGAAAAGUGGGCGUCAAUUAUUAUUUCUUACCCAUCAGCUUGUGAAAUUUUGAACGGUUCUAAACUUGGCUACCACGGGUUCGAGGGAUUAGUGUCUUAUAUCGGAGAGGGAGCAUGAGAAAAGGCUACCACAUCUAAGGACGGCAGCAGGCGCGCAAACUACCCAAUUCCAACUCGGAGAGGUGGUGACAAGAAAUAACGACCUUCUUCUAUUUUUAGGGGAAGGGUAUCCUUAAAAAAGAUUUGUAAUGGUUACAAAUUAAAUUAUUGUAAGAUUAACAAUUGGAGGAAAAGUCUGGUGCCAGCACCCGCGGUAAUUCCAGCUCCAAUAGUGUAUUCUAAAAUUGUUGUAGUUAAAACGCUCGUAUUUUAUUUUUAAACUGGGAGGUUGUUGUCAAGUCGUUUUCGCUCGAUUAAGUGGAAGUUAUUAAGUCCAUUCUAUUGAGUACCAUCAUUUAUGUUGGUAAGAAAACAUCUUUUUAGUCCAUCUAUGAAUGGUUAUUUGGCUUAUGUCAUUGAACAUUUAACGGAUGAUAGCAAUACAAACAGUGACAUAUUUUCACUUUUGUGAAAUAACUGCGAAUAAAUCAAAGUGCUUCAAACGGGCAUUGAUUUUUUGCAAGAAUGUCUUAGCGUGGUAUUAAAUUUUAAUUCUUCUUUUUGGGAGAAUGUAAGAAAAGAGACCCAGGAAGAGGGUUCAAGAAUUGCCUUGUCAGAGGUGAAAUUCAGAAAACCAGGCGGACUACCUGAUGCGAAAGCGGUUAUUCCACCCGUCACAAGUCUCUCAAUGAGGAACGAAAGUUAGGGGAUCGAAAAUGAUUAGAUACCAUUGUAGUCCUAACCCGUAAACUAUGCUGACAGAAGAUUGGGAAAAUACCUUUUCUCCAGAUUUCCUCAGAAUUCAAAGGAAACUGAAAGUUUUUGAGUUCUAGGGGGAGUAUAGUCGCAAGGCCGAAACUUAAAAGAAUUGACGGAAGAGCACCACCAGGAGUGGAAUUUGCGGCUUAAUUCGACUCAACACGGGAAAACUCACCAGGUCCGGACAAUUGUAGGAUUGACAGGUUAAAGUCCUUUCUUGAUUAUUUGUAUGGUGGUGCAUGGCCGUUCUUAGUUCGUGGAGUGGUUUGUCAGGUUGAUUCCGAUAACGAACGAGACCUUAGCUUACUAACUAUGUUAUCGGUAGAUCUCUCGAGUUCUACUAGCUUUUCGAAGCCGAUAAUAAGGGAUUUACUUUUAAUCCUGCUUCUUAGAAGGACAAUGCUGCGUUUUUUUAAAAAAAAUUAGCUCAGGGAAGUUGAAGGCAAUAACAGGUCUGUAAUGCCCUUAAAUGUUCUGGGCUGCACGCGUAUUACAAUGUUAAUUCCGACAAGUUUAUUCUAACUUUGCAUUUGCCAAAGUUAUACCUUCUCUAUAAAAGAGUGGGAAAUCUUUUCAAGAGUUAACGUGACAGGGAUAGACCCUUGAAAUUUGGUCUUGAACGAGGAAUUCCUAGUAGAUUCAAUUCAUUAAUUUGAAUCGAUUACGUCCCUGCUCUUUGUACACACCGCCCGUCGCUCCUACCGAUGGAAUGAAAAGGUGAAUUUGAAGGACUGGUGAAUCCGUUAAAAGAUUUGCUAGAAAUUUAUUUAAAUCUCUUGUUGUAGAAGA
RNAcentral lists this ribosomal RNA (1911 nucleotides) under uncultured heterolobosean. Its description in RNAcentral is "bacterial SSU rRNA". It matches the Rfam family "Eukaryotic small subunit ribosomal RNA". The record is from RNAcentral. Lineage: Eukaryota; Heterolobosea.